Molecule: ribosomal RNA, 460 nt
Filed under: uncultured bacterium
Lineage: Bacteria
Description: partial 16S ribosomal RNA
Rfam family: Bacterial small subunit ribosomal RNA
Source: RNAcentral
CCUACGGGAGGCAGCAGUGAGGAAUAUUGGUCAAUGGACGAGAGUCUGAACCAGCCAAGUAGCGUGAAGGAUGACUGCCCUAUGGGUUGUAAACUUCUUUUAUAUGGGAAUAAAAUGUUCCACGUGUGGGAUUUUGUAUGUACCAUAUGAAUAAGGAUCGGCUAACUCCGUGCCAGCAGCCGCGGUAAGACGGAGGAUCCGAGCGUUAUCCGGAUUUAGUGGGGUUAAAGGGAGCGUAGGUGGAUUGUUAAGUCAGUUGUGAAAGUUUGCGGCUCAACCGUAAAAUUGCAGUUGAAACUGGCAGUCUUGAGUACAGUAGAGGUGGGCGGAAUUCGUGGUGUAGCGGUGAAAUGCUUAGAUAUCACGAAGAACUCCGAUGGCGAAGGCAGCUCACUGGACUGCAACUGACACUGAGGCUCGAAAGUGUGGGUAUCAAACAGGAUUAGAUACCCUAGUAGUC